GGAUGGGUGGCCGAGCGGUUUAAGGCACCGGUCUUGAAAACCGGCGUAGGUGCAAGCUUACCGUGGGUUCGAAUCCCACCCCAUCCGCCA
RNAcentral lists this transfer RNA (90 nucleotides) under Acetobacteraceae bacterium. Its description in RNAcentral is "tRNA-Ser". It matches the Rfam family "tRNA". From Rfam's summary of the family: Transfer RNA (tRNA) molecules are approximately 80 nucleotides in length. The record is from RNAcentral. Lineage: Bacteria; Pseudomonadati; Pseudomonadota; Alphaproteobacteria; Acetobacterales; Acetobacteraceae.